UCUGCCUCAGCCUCCAGGUUGGCUAGGAUUACAGUUGUGUACUACCACAUGGCUGGUGGUACCAUUCUUAAACUGUACAUGAAAUGUUAUGGAAUUACUUCAAGGCUGAUUAUGUUAAGGAUGCAUUUAAAAAAAAAAAAAAGGUCUGGAGAUGUAGGUGGGUGAUGAAGUCCUCCUAGGUUCCCUCCCCAUUCACCCCACUGGUCCCACAUGCUGCCGUCACGUGUUUUACUGUUACUUCUGUAUAAACCCCAUCAUACAGUGUUAAUAUUUUUGUUUAGUCAGCAGUCUUCUAGAGAAAUCUAAAGAGCAUGUUUUGUUUACCUACAUGUUGACUUUCUACAUGGGAGAACAUUCCUCGGCUGGUCUUCACUCAAGGAUUCUCCUCAAGAAUGCUUUAUGGGAUGAGGGCUGGGCCUCGCCUUCAGGCUAGUGUUCAGUUUAAAAACUCCUUUGGAAAUGUUCCAGAGGAAGGGGUGAGAUUCUCCUGGGAGCCGCUCCUCAGCCUGGACCACCUUCGGGUUCAGCAAAAUUGAGAGAUGAAUUUGGCUGCCUCGCACUUUCCAACCUGUGCAGUUUCUGAUGAGUACCUGGCAGGCAGGGAAUAUUCUUUUCUUAGCAAUUUCCUGGUCCAGCGACCACCUCGACAUUGCUGGGGCUGGAGGAUGAUGGGCAUUCCCCAGCCUGGACAAACUGCUGGCAACUUUAGCUUUUGUCUCCCAAGGUGGGGAAGCUUGACCUGCUGACCACUCCCCGGCUUGGGACCUUUCAGCAAUAUCUUGCACUGAGCUUUAUCACAAGUGUUACAUGCUUGAGGCUUUACACCUGGAUUGGAAUAUCCAUGCUAUGAUGAUCAUCAACAGAACAGUCCCAGUGUAUGAACGAAGUCCUUUUGCUGAUAGUGAUUUUGUGUGCUUCUGUCAUUGGCAUUCCAGUUGCCAUUCUGAGAAAGUAUUCUCAAGUGCUAGAGUAUACAUACUCCUGAAAACAAGAGCGCAAUUGACCAGAAUCUUUGCAAAGGCUUCCAAGCGGACGGAUGACCUGCCUUGUGUCCUGACCGUAGCUCUUAAAAUAUUGCUGAGAUGCAUGGGUAAUCCUAGCCCAGCUCCUGUGGGAACAAGAUGAGUGAACAGAUGCUCUGGUGCCACCUGGUGGCUAUCGAGGGUGCACUACAAUGACAGAUGCAAGCUCUGGAGGACCAAGGUAAACAAGGGCCAGAGAAUCAGGGCCAAGCAAUGAAGCCUGCUGUCCACUGGGACUCCAGUGGGUGGCUUCCAGAAUAUAGAUCCUCCUGGUUGACAAGGAAGAGAUGUCCCCCCUUCCCCGGCAAGUCUGGAAGAGCACAACUCCCUGGAGCAUCACAGAGAGGCAGGAGGUAGAGAGCACUUGCCCCACCUUACCCUCCAGCCCCAGUAGAGGCUCUUGUGUGGGAUGUGGGCUCUCUAAUUCAGUUCUGAUUUCGGCUGCAAAUUGUAUAUGAAACGGUGAUCUUAAGCUGCCUGGGUUUCAGAGAAAACUGUGCUGUUAAAAACAUGUAUGUUUUGAGUUGGUAGCUUUGCUUAAUUGUAUGUUGCCAUGGUAAUACAGACAUUUCUGUUUUUAAACAGCUGGCCAUGGUGGUAGAUGCCUAUAAUCCCAGCAACUUGGGAGGCUAAAGCAGGAGGAUCACAAGAUCAAGGCCAGCCUUUGCAGCUUGACUCACUCCUCAGCUGUCCUCCUCUCUUUGCCUGUUUCUGAGUUCAUCACGAGCUGAUAUUGCAGUCACUUCAUCAUCACACGCUUUAGCAUCUGACAGAUUGGUCCUCCCAGAUCUCUUUCUCUCCCACUUGUUGUUCUUCUUUUUUUUUUUAAUUUCAGGAGUUUUCUUGAUUUUCCUGCAUGAGUUUUAGAAUCAGUUUUUCAAGGUCCCAAAUAAUCCUGUAUAUAUAUAUAUUUGCUUCCCAUUAAAAUUAUAA
This is a non-coding RNA of Ictidomys tridecemlineatus (thirteen-lined ground squirrel), 1955 nucleotides long. The record is from RefSeq and is a predicted model, not a curated record. Lineage: Eukaryota; Metazoa; Chordata; Mammalia; Rodentia; Sciuridae.